AACACCUCAACCUCCUCUUGUUUUUUCAAAAGGAGGGUGGACUUGAGCUAUCCCAACAACCUUCACCGGUAGGCGGGCGGCUUGAAAUGCAGGUGCAGCUGGACUUUUAUCUGAGCUAAAAGCAUAUCUAUUUAGUCCUCGUCAAACAGGAUUAUUACUAUUGCUGCAGCUAACAUAAAGGAUAAUUGUCCUCAUUGCUGACUGAUGCAGGAUUUUACGACACUUUAUGUGUUGUUCAAC
This 240-nucleotide unclassified non-coding RNA is filed under the name uncultured Mortierella. RNAcentral's name for it is "sequence contains ITS2". The record is from RNAcentral. Lineage: Eukaryota; Fungi; Mortierellomycota; Mortierellomycetes; Mortierellales; Mortierellaceae.